CCUACGGGAGGCAGCAGUGAGGAAUAUUGGUCAAUGGGCGCGAGCCUGAACCAGCCAAGUAGCGUGAAGGAUGACUGCCCUACGGGUUGUAAACUUCUUUUAUAAAGGAAUAAAGUGAGGCUCGUGUGCCUUUUUGUAUGUACUUUAUGAAUAAGGAUCGGCUAACUCCGGUCCGGCAGCCGCGGUAAUACGGAGGAUCCGAGCGUUAUCCGGAUUGGUUGGGUUUAAAGGGAGAGUAGAUGGGUUGUUAAGUCAGGUGUGAAAGUUUGGGGCUCAACCGUAAAAUUGCAAUUGAUACUGGCAGUCUGGAGUACAGUUGAGGUAGGUGGAAUUCGUGGUGUAGCGGUGAAAUGCUUAGAUAUCACGAAGAACUCCGAUUGCGAAGGCAGCUAACUAACCUGCCACUGACAUUGAUGCUCGAAAGUGUGGGUAUCAAACAGGAUUAGAUACCCUUGUAGUC
This 460-nucleotide ribosomal RNA is filed under the name uncultured bacterium. Its description in RNAcentral is "partial 16S ribosomal RNA". It matches the Rfam family "Bacterial small subunit ribosomal RNA", at positions 338 to 795 of the family's 1533-position model. The record is from RNAcentral.